GGAUUCCCCUAGUAACUGCGAGUGAAGCGGGAAAAGCUCAAAUUUAAAAUCUAAUGGUCCUUGGCCAUUCGAGUUGUAAUUUAGAGAAGCGUCUUCCGCGCCAGACCAUGUACAAGUCUCCUGGAACGGAGCGUCAUAGAGGGUGAGAAUCCCGUCUUUGACAUGGACCCUUGGUGCUUCUGUGAUGCGCUCUCAAAGAGUCGAGUUGUUUGGGAAUGCAGCUCAAAAUGGGUGGUGAACUCCAUCUAAGGCUAAAUAUUGGCGAGAGACCGAUAGCGAACAAGUACCGUGAGGGAAAGAUGAAAAGCACUUUGGAAAGAGAGUGAAACAGUACGUGAAAUUGUUGAAAGGGAAACACUUGAAGUCAGUCGCGUCGAUCGAGACUCAGCCUUGGCUUGGCUUGGCGUACUUCUCGACUUGACGGGCCAGCAUCAAUUUCRUCCCUCGGAUAAUGGCAGGGGAAAGGUGGCACCUUCACSGGUGUGUUAUAGUCUCUUGUCGCAURCGAGGGGUGGGAUUGAGGAACUCAGCACGCACCUCACGGUGUCGGGGCUUCGGCCCACGUUACGUGCUCAGGAUGCCGGCGUAAUGGCUUUAAAUGACCCGUCUUGAAACACGGACCAAGGAGUCUAACAUGCCUGCGAGUGUUCGGGUGGAAAACCCGUGUGCGUAAUGAAAGUAAAAGUUGGGACCUCUGUCGUGGAGGGCACCGACGCCCGGACCAGACCUUCUGUGACGGAUCUGCGGUAGAGCAUGCAUGUUGGGACCCGAAAGAUGGUGAACUAUGCCUGAAUAGGGUGAAGCCAGAGGAAACUCUGGUGGAGGCUCGUAGCGAUUCUGACGUGCAAAUCGAUCGUCAAAUUUGGGUAUAGGGGCGAAAGACUAAU
RNAcentral lists this ribosomal RNA (887 nucleotides) under Lactifluus cf. volemus I KH-2011. RNAcentral describes it as "LSU rRNA". It matches the Rfam family "Eukaryotic large subunit ribosomal RNA", at positions 72 to 935 of the family's 3401-position model. The record is from RNAcentral. Lineage: Eukaryota; Fungi; Basidiomycota; Agaricomycetes; Russulales; Russulaceae.